CCUACGGGUGGCAGCAGUGGGGAAUAUUGCGCAAUGGGCGAAAGCCUGACGCAGCGACGCCGCGUGAGGGAUGAAGGUCUUCGGAUCGUAAACCUCUGUCAGCAGGGAAGAACGGUCACUGUGCUAAUCAGCAGUGAAUUGACGGUACCUGCAAAGGAAGCACCGGCUAACUCCGUGCCAGCAGCCGCGGUAAUACGGAGAGUGCGAGCGUUAAUCGGAAUUACUGGGCGUAAAGCGCGCGUAGGCGGUAUGUCAAGUCAAGGUGGAAAUCCCCGCGCUCAACGUGGGAACUGCCUUUGAAACUGGCAAACUGGAGUGUGUGAGAGGAUAGUGGAAUUCCAGGUGUAGGAGUGAAAUCCGUAGAUAUCUGGAGGAACAUCAGUGGCGAAGGCGACUAUCUGGCACAUAACUGACGCUGAGGAGCGAAAGCGUGGGUAGCAAACAGGAUUAGAUACCCCAGUAGUC
This 465-nucleotide ribosomal RNA is filed under the name uncultured bacterium. RNAcentral's name for it is "partial 16S ribosomal RNA". It matches the Rfam family "Bacterial small subunit ribosomal RNA", at positions 338 to 795 of the family's 1533-position model. The record is from RNAcentral.